Molecule: ribosomal RNA, 460 nt
Filed under: uncultured bacterium
Lineage: Bacteria
Description: partial 16S ribosomal RNA
Rfam family: Bacterial small subunit ribosomal RNA
Source: RNAcentral
CCUACGGGUGGCAGCAGUGAGGAAUAUUGGUCAAUGGACGAGAGUCUGAACCAGCCAAGUAGCGUGAAGGAUGACUGCCCUAUGGGUUGUAAACUUCUUUUAUAAAGGAAUAAAACGAGGCACGUGUGCCUUUUUGCAUGUACUUUAUGAAUAAGGAUCGGCUAACUCCGUGCCAGCAGCCGCGGUAAUACGGAGGAUCCGAGCGUUAUCCGGAUUUAUUGGGUUUAAAGGGAGCGUAGAUGGGUUGUUAAGUCAGUUGUGAAAGUUUGCGGCUCAACCGUAAAAUUGCAAUUGAUACUGGCAGUCGUGAGUACAGUGGAGGUAGGCGGAAUUCGUGGUGUAGCGGUGAAAUGCUUAGAUAUCACGAAGAACCCCGAUUGCGAAGGCAGCUUACUAAACUGUGACUGACAUUGAUGCUCGAAAGUGUGGGUAUCAAACAGGAUUAGAUACCCGAGUAGUC